GGGCCCAUAGCUCAGUUGGUUAGAGCAAACGACUCAUAAUCGUUUGGUCCCAGGUUCGAGUCCUGGUGGGCCCA
Molecule: transfer RNA, 74 nt
Filed under: bacterium
Lineage: Bacteria
Description: tRNA-Ile
Rfam family: tRNA
About the family: Transfer RNA (tRNA) molecules are approximately 80 nucleotides in length.
Source: RNAcentral